RNAcentral lists this unclassified non-coding RNA (329 nucleotides) under soil metagenome. RNAcentral's name for it is "partial contains 5.8S ribosomal RNA, internal transcribed spacer 2, and large subunit ribosomal RNA". The stretch from base 3 to 120 matches the Rfam family "5.8S ribosomal RNA", at positions 37 to 154 of the family's 154-position model. The record is from RNAcentral.
GCUGAAGAACGUAGCGAAAUGCGAUAAGUAGUGUGAAUUGCAGAAUUCAGUGAAUCAUCGAAUCUUUGAACGCACAUUGCGCCCCUUGGUAUCCCGAGGGGCAUGCCUGUUCGAGCGUCAUUUCACCACUCAAGCCUGGCUUGGUGUUGGGCGACGUCCUCUUUGGGGACGCGCCUCGAAACGCUCGGCGGCGUGGCACCGGCUUUAAGCGUAGCAGAAUCUUUCGCUUUGGAAGUCGGGGCCCCGUCUGCCGGAAGACCUGCUCGCAAGGUUGACCUCGGAUCAGGCAGGGAUACCCGCUGAACUUAAGCAUAUCAAUAAGCGGAGGA